AUUGAACGCUGGCGGCAGGCCUAACACAUGCAAGUCGAGCGGAUGAAGGGAGCUUGCUCCUGGAUUCAGCGGCGGACGGGUGAGUAAUGCCUAGGAAUCUGCCUGGUAGUGGGGGAUAACGUCCGGAAACGGGCGCUAAUACCGCAUACGUCCUGAGGGAGAAAGUGGGGGAUCUUCGGACCUCACGCUAUCAGAUGAGCCUAGGUCGGAUUAGCUAGUUGGUGGGGUAAAGGCCUACCAAGGCGACGAUCCGUAACUGGUCUGAGAGGAUGAUCAGUCACACUGAAACUGAGACACGGUCCAGACUCCUACGGGAGGCAGCAGUGGGGAAUAUUGGACAAUGGGCGAAAGCCUGAUCCAGCCAUGCCGCGUGUGUGAAGAAGGUCUUCGGAUUGUAAAGCACUUUAAGUUGGGAGGAAGGGCAGUAAGUUAAUACCUGCUGUUUUGACGUUACCAACAGAAUAAGCACCGGCUAACUUCGUG
This 483-nucleotide ribosomal RNA is filed under the name uncultured bacterium. Its description in RNAcentral is "partial 16S ribosomal RNA". It matches the Rfam family "Bacterial small subunit ribosomal RNA", at positions 30 to 507 of the family's 1533-position model. The record is from RNAcentral.